GCAACGAGCGCACCCCUAUCCUUAGUUGCCAGCACGUAAUGGUGGGAACUCUGGGGAGACUGCCGGUGAUAAACCGGAGGAAGGUGGGGAUGACGUCAAGUCAUCAUGGCCCUUAUGGGGAGGGCUACACACGUGCUACAAUGGCCGGUACAGAGGGCAGCGAAGCCGCGAGGUGGAGCGAAUCCCAGAAAACCGGUCGUAGUCCGGAUUGCAGUCUGCAACUCGACUGCAUGAAGCCGGAAUCGCUAGUAAUCGCGGAUCAGAACGCCGCGGUGAAUACGUUCCCGGGCCUUGUACACACCGCCCGUCACACCAUGGGAGUGGGCUGUACCAGAAGUAGGUAGUCUAACCUUCGGGAGGACGCUUACCACGGUGUGGUUCAUGACUGGGGUGAAGUCGUAACAAGGUAGCCCUAGGGGAACCUGGGGCUGGAUCACCUCCUUU
Molecule: ribosomal RNA, 444 nt
Filed under: uncultured Chromatiales bacterium
Lineage: Bacteria; Pseudomonadati; Pseudomonadota; Gammaproteobacteria; Chromatiales
Description: bacterial SSU rRNA
Rfam family: Bacterial small subunit ribosomal RNA
Source: RNAcentral